AUUGAACGCUGGCGGAAUGCUUUACACAUGCAAGUCGAACGGCAGCACGGGUGCUUGCACCUGGUGGCGAGUGGCGAACGGGUGAGUAAUGCACCGGAACGUAUCCAAUAAUGGGGGAUAACGCACCGAAAGGUGUGCUAAUACCGCAUACGCCCUGAGGGGGAAAGCGGGGGGAUCGUAAGACCUCGCGUUAAUGGAGCGGCCGAUGCCGGAUUAGCUAGUUGGUGAGGUAAAGGCUCACCAAGGCGACGAUCCGUAGCUGGUCUGAGAGGACGACCAGCCACACUGGAACUGAGACACGGUCCAGACUCCUACGGGAGGCAGCAGUGGGGAAUUUUGGACAAUGGGCGCAAGCCUGAUCCAGCCAUUCCGCGUGAGUGAAGAAGGCCUUCGGGUUGUAAG
This 402-nucleotide ribosomal RNA is filed under the name uncultured bacterium. RNAcentral's name for it is "bacterial SSU rRNA". It matches the Rfam family "Bacterial small subunit ribosomal RNA", at positions 30 to 429 of the family's 1533-position model. The record is from RNAcentral.